GAAGGUGAAGUCGUAACAAGGUCUCCGUUGGUGAACCAGCGGAGGGAUCAUUACUGAGUUUACGCUCUAUAACCCUUUGUGAACAUACCUAUAACUGUUGCUUCGGCGGGUAGGGUCUCCGCGACCCUCCCGGCCUCCCGCCUCCGGGCGGGUCGGCGCCCGCCGGAGGAUAACCAAACUCUGAUUUAACGACGUUUCUUCUGAGUGGUACAAGCAAAUAAUCAAAACUUUUAACAACGGAUCUCUUGGUUCUGGCAUCGAUGAAGAACGCAGCGAAAUGCGAUAAGUAAUGUGAAUUGCAGAAUUCAGUGAAUCAUCGAAUCUUUGAACGCACAUUGCGCCCGCCAGCAUUCUGGCGGGCAUGCCUGUUCGAGCGUCAUUUCAACCCUCAAGCUCUGCUUGGUGUUGGGGCCCUACAGCUGAUGUAGGCCCUCAAAGGUAGUGGCGGACCCUCCCGGAGCCUCCUUUGCGUAGUAACUUUACGUCUCGCACUGGGAUCCGGAGGGACUCUUGCCGUAAAACCCCCCAAUUUUCCAAAGGUUGACCUCGGAUCAGGUAGGAAUACCCGCUGAACUUAAGCAUAUCAAUAAGCGGAGGA
Molecule: ribosomal RNA, 598 nt
Filed under: Colletotrichum gloeosporioides
Lineage: Eukaryota; Fungi; Ascomycota; Sordariomycetes; Glomerellales; Glomerellaceae
Description: eukaryotic LSU rRNA
Rfam family: 5.8S ribosomal RNA (bases 226-379)
Source: RNAcentral